GAAGGCACGACAUUGCUCACAUUGCUUCCAAGUAUUAUUUAGCCAGCUCGGGUGCUGGCUUUUUUUU
Triticum urartu is the source of this 67-nucleotide non-coding RNA. The record is from Rfam. Lineage: Eukaryota; Viridiplantae; Streptophyta; Magnoliopsida; Poales; Poaceae.